AGGGCACCACCAGGAGUGGAGCCUGCGGCUUAAUUUGACUCAACACGGGGAAACUUACCCGGCCUGGACACUGGAAGGAUUGACAGAUUGAGAGCUCUUUCUUGAUUCAGUGGGUGGUGGUGCAUGGCCGUUCUUAGUUGGUGGAGCGAUUUGUCUGGUUAAUUCCGAUAACGAACGAGACUCUAGCCUAUUAAAUAGGCUCCCGGCUUUUAAACGCCGGGAGGACUUCUUAGAGGGACAGGUGGCGGUUCAGCCGCACGAAAGAGAGCAAUAACAGGUCUGUGAUGCCCUUUGUUGUCUGGGGCCGCACGCGCGCUACACUGAAGAGAUCAGCGUGCUUUAUGUUCCUGCUCCGACCGGAGUGGGGAACCCAGUGAACCUUCUUCGUGAUUGGGAUAGAAGAUUGUAAUUAUUCUUCUUGAACGAGGAAUUCCCAGUAAAUGCGAGUCAUAAGCUCGCGUUGAUUACGUCCCUGCCCUUUGUACACACCGCCCGUCGCUACUACCGAUUGAACGAUUU
RNAcentral lists this ribosomal RNA (519 nucleotides) under uncultured eukaryote. RNAcentral describes it as "SSU rRNA". It matches the Rfam family "Eukaryotic small subunit ribosomal RNA", at positions 1161 to 1699 of the family's 1831-position model. The record is from RNAcentral.